RNAcentral lists this ribosomal RNA (198 nucleotides) under Sanguinoderma rude. The record is from RNAcentral. Lineage: Eukaryota; Fungi; Basidiomycota; Agaricomycetes; Polyporales; Polyporaceae.
UCGAGUCUUGACCGGGUUGUAGCUGGCCUUCCGAGGCAUGUGCACGCCCUGCUCAUCCACUCUACACCUGUGAACUUACUGUGGGUUUCAUAUCGUGAAGCGUGUCGUUUAACGGCUCGUGAAGCGGUCUGUGCCUGCGUUUAUUACAAACCCUUGUAAAGUAAUAGAACGUGUAUUGCGAUGUAACGCAUCUAUAUA